This 23-nucleotide microRNA is filed under the name Gallus gallus (chicken). Its description in RNAcentral is "gga-miR-6516-3p". The record is from miRBase by way of RNAcentral. Lineage: Eukaryota; Metazoa; Chordata; Aves; Galliformes; Phasianidae.
CAUGUAUGAUACUGCACACAACG